Molecule: non-coding RNA, 790 nt
Organism: Notechis scutatus (mainland tiger snake)
Lineage: Eukaryota; Metazoa; Chordata; Lepidosauria; Squamata; Elapidae
Source: RefSeq, a predicted model, not a curated record
UCGCGCGCCCUCCUGCAGCGCACGUUCGGUAGGGGUUCUUGCCGGCCGCCGCGCGCGCACGCUCUUCACGUUAACCAAUCGAGAAACGAAAGCGAGCCCCUUCAGUUCCUUCAGAGCUUUGGGGAAGAGGGGGGCGUUCCUCCGGUAAUGGCUAAGACCAGUGCACAUGCAUAAGAGGAAACAAAGGCUUGCGCCUGUCGUUUCCCUCGGAUCGGUCUGAGCAUGUGCGAAACGAAAGGAAGGAAACGUGUCGCCCAUGUGGGGAGCGCGUACAAAUGGUACCAUUAUACAAAAAUAAUGAAACUGCCGAUUCUGACAUUCUGAAAGAGGAAUUACAACAUACAAAAUACAGUCAAUCACAAAAGAUCUGUUACUGUCAAGUCUGUUACUGUCAAGUCUACUAUCAAGUCUAUUAUCUAGUAAUUGUGAUAGGAAAGACAAAGAGCCACUAGCAGACUGGAUUGGCGAUAGGAAUAGGCAAACCUGGAGUUUAGCUUAGCCUCAGUGACUCUCAGCCCAGACUAUUUCAUAGCACUGUUGUGGUGAAAUGUGGGAGAGGAUAUUACCAUAAUCUUCUGAAGGGAAAUUGAAUUAGUUUCCUGCAUUCCCUCAUGCUCUUCACAGUUGCUGUAUCAUGAACAUAAAGUGCAUAACAUAUACCAAGCUGCUUACCUAGGCAAUACCCUACUUAUAUUUUCCUGGGAAAGAGUCAUUGCAAAGCAGCCAACAGGAGAUACAAGAAUGACAGCAAAAAUAAAUACUUCUGGUGUCCCUAGAGGCAUGAGAGAAA